RNAcentral lists this long non-coding RNA (206 nucleotides) under Capra hircus (goat). RNAcentral's name for it is "lncRNA (ENSCHIG00000004490.1)". Lineage: Eukaryota; Metazoa; Chordata; Mammalia; Artiodactyla; Bovidae. The record is from RNAcentral.
GACUGAAACUGAAGCUAAGAGAGGUUAAGUGACCUGCUCCUGGUAAAACUGUCCCAAGCGUUCCAGCUGGGCGUGGCUCCCAGACGUGUGUGACUUCAGUCACAGGAGGCCUGCAGGAAAAGGCUUUCCUAUCUCUCCACUGACAGUGAUCAGCAGCCAGCUCUCAGGACAAGGAGUGUCAAUCAGAUGGGAAUGCUACUUCAGUG